CGGGUAAAAAAAAAAAGAGAGCCGCGUAUUUCCCUAUUCUUUUUUCCCCAACACGUUCCUCCUCUGCAAAUUACUCUUCAAAGACAAAGGUCACCUUUUCCCAUGAAACCCUUCCUCUCUUGGUUGUCAAACUUCGUCUCCAACAUCUGGUAAAUGAUAAUCAUGGCAUCUCAAAAUGAUGAGAAUCUACCCGCUUCUUCAUCUAACGCUAUUUCCUUAGAGGCUGAGAGUCCGGGGCCUUCACAACUUAAUGAAGUUAUUGAACUGAAAAAAAAGGAAGAGAUACUCUAAAGCACGGAAUCAUUUCAAGUUGGUGUCCUUUGAUGGUGUUCUGUAUGGUGAAUGGUGCCUCGUGCUAUAUUGCCAUUGACCCGAAGUUCCUACGUGCUUGGUGGUGCAAACUGCAAAGAAAUAUGUUGCAUGUUUUAAUUUAAGUAGUUGCAUUUGCAGGAAUGGCUUUUCUAAUAGUUACUGCCAAAUAUGAACGUGCAAGAGAAGUUGCUUUAUUAAUUUAUAAGUUUUGACUUCGUAAUGUUUUUCUUUCUUUUGAUUUUUCUAGGAAUUGUUGUUUUGCAGAUUAUCUUAAGUUAAAUCUUAGCAGAGAGACCUUAAAGCUGA
Lycium barbarum (goji berry) is the source of this 618-nucleotide long non-coding RNA. RefSeq lists it as uncharacterized. NCBI's taxonomy places the organism in Eukaryota, Viridiplantae, Streptophyta, Magnoliopsida, Solanales, Solanaceae. The record is from RefSeq and is a predicted model, not a curated record. The transcript is spliced from 3 exons.